Molecule: ribosomal RNA, 274 nt
Filed under: uncultured bacterium
Lineage: Bacteria
Description: partial 16S ribosomal RNA
Rfam family: Bacterial small subunit ribosomal RNA
Source: RNAcentral
AUACGGAGGGUGCAAGCGUUACUGGGAAUCACUGGGCGUAAAGCGCGCGCAGGCGGUCUUUUAAGUUGGAUGAGAAAGCCUACGGCUCAACCGUAGAACUGCAUCCAAAACUAUUAGACUAGAGUGUGGGAGAGGAAGAUGGAAUUAGUUGUGUAGGGGUAAAAUCCGUAGAGAUAACUAGGAAUACCAAAAGCGAAGGCAAUCUUCUGGAACACUACUGACGCUGAGGCGCGAAAGCGUGGGGAGCAAACAGGAUUAGAAACCCCGGUAGUCC